This 331-nucleotide long non-coding RNA is filed under the name Gossypium raimondii (Peruvian cotton). RNAcentral describes it as "long non-coding RNA (GRAI_LNC008133)". Lineage: Eukaryota; Viridiplantae; Streptophyta; Magnoliopsida; Malvales; Malvaceae. The record is from RNAcentral.
UGAUAUAUAGAACUAAUUAGUCUAAUAAUUGACAAAUCAAAAUCAUUCACUAUCAUGCCAAAUUUACUGUAAACAUAAUCUGCCUAGAUACAUGCUCCUAACCAAUCACUUGUAUUUCUACAAGCUUUAGAGCCUUUAGAUAAGAAAAAAUAAAAAUAAAAGCAUGAAAUAAAAACAUAAAUAUCCUACAUUACCCCCCACACUUUAGAUAGCACAUUGUCCCUAAUGUGCAGCACUUAAGUAUAUAGGAAAGAAGUUACUUGAUUGAUCGUGACAUUGUUGCAACCUUAUAGUGGGUUUCUCAUUCCCUUUUCAUUAAAACUUGUAAGUG